AACGAACGCUGGCGGCAUGCCUAACACAUGCAAGUCGAACGAGACCUUCGGGUCUAGUGGCGCACGGGUGCGUAACGCGUGGGAACCUGCCCUUAGGUUCGGAAUAACUCCCCGAAAGGGGUGCUAAUACCGGAUAAUGUCUUCGGACCAAAGAUUUAUCGCCUUUGGAGGGGCCCGCGUUGGAUUAGCUAGUUGGUAGGGUAAAAGCCUACCAAGGCGACGAUCCAUAGCUGGUCUGAGAGGAUGAUCAGCCACACUGGGACUGAGACACGGCCCAGACUCCUACGGGAGGCAGCAGUGGGGAAUAUUGGACAAUGGGCGAAAGCCUGAUCCAGCAAUGCCGCGUGAGUGAUGAAGGCCUUAGGGUUGUAAAGCUCUUUUACCCGGGAUGAUAAUGACAGUACCGGGAGAAUAAGCGCCGGCUAACUCCGUG
Molecule: ribosomal RNA, 433 nt
Filed under: uncultured bacterium
Lineage: Bacteria
Description: partial 16S ribosomal RNA
Rfam family: Bacterial small subunit ribosomal RNA
Source: RNAcentral